GGCUAAAACUAAAGCAGUAAGCUUGAAACUCAAAUUCGAUCAUCGACUAAACAGUAAGCGUGAAACUCUCUCCCUUUUCUAUGUAUCGAAAACCUUAGUUCUUCACUAAAUUCAUGUCCCUUCCUUUCUCCAAAUCCUCCGGCCAUGUCGGCUUCUUCUAUAAUGGAGUCACUGUUCCAGCGCUCCUUAGACGAUCUAAUCAAAGGCAUCCGUCUCCAAUUGAUCGGAGAAUCGAAGUUCAUUACUAAAGCCAUGGAAGAGAUACGGCGAGAGAUCAAAACCACUGACUCCCAGACCAAGGCGGUCGCUCUUGAGAAACUCACAUAUCUAAAUUCCAUCCAUGGCAUCGACAUGUCGUGGGCAGCCUUCCAUGUCGUAGAAGUCAUGAGCUCGUCCCGUUUCGCCCACAAAAAGAUCGGAUACCUCGCUGCCUCACAAUCCUUCAACGAGGGCACCGAUGUUAUCCUCCUCAUCACCAAUCAGCUCCGAAAAGACCUCACCAGCACCAAUGAAUUCGAAGUAGGUCUUGCACUCGAAUGCUUAUCUGUUAUUGCCACAACCGAUCUUGCUAGAGACUUGACACCAGAGAUCUUUACAUUGCUUUCUAGUAGCAAAACUUUUGUUAGAAAAAAGGCUGUUGCUGUAAUUCUGAGAAUUUUUGUUAAGUACCCAGAUGCUGUAAAGGUAUCUUUUAAGCGUUUGGUUGAGAAUUUGGAGAAUUCAGAUCCUCAUGUGAUGUCUGCGGCAGUUGGAGUCUUUUGUGAGCUAGCCUCAAAGGACCCGGACCCCAGGUUGUAUCUCCCGCUAGCGCCAGAAUUUUAUAGGAUUUUGGUUGAUUGUAAGAACAAUUGGAUAUUAAUUAAGGUGCUUAAGAUUUUCGCAAAACUGUUACCAUUGGAGCCAAGGUUGGCAAAGAGGGUUGUUGAUCCAAUAUGCGAGCACAUGAGAAGAACUGGGGCUAAAUCACUAAUGUUCGAGUGCAUUCGAACUGUGGUCACUACUUUGACUGACUAUGAAUCUGCAGUGAAGCUCGCAGUUGAGAAGAUUCGGGAAUUGUUGGUUGAUGAUGAUCCAAAUCUUAAGUAUCUUGGGUUGCAGGCGCUUUCCAUUCUUGGGGCUAAGCAUUUAUGGCCAGUGUUGGAAAACAAGGAUGUUGUGAUAAACUCUCUGAGUGAUGCGGAUCCAAAUAUUAAACUCGAGGCUCUGCAUCUUGUGAUGGGUAUGGUGUCUGAGACCAAUGUUGCUGAGAUCUCCCGAGUUUUGGUUAACUAUGCACUUAAGUCUGAACCACAGUUUUGCAAUGAGAUUUUAGGAUCUAUCCUGUCAACCUGUGGUAGAAAUUUUUAUGAAAUUGUUGUUGAUUUUGAUUGGUAUGUUUCGCUUCUCGGGGAAAUGUCAAGGAACCCACAUUGCCAAAAAGGUGAAGAGAUUGAGAGUCAAUUUGUUGAUAUUGGUCUAAGGGUUAAGGAUGCCAGACCGGAGCUUGUUCGUGUUGCUCGUGAUCUUCUGAUUGAUCCUGCCUUGCUUGGUAAUCCAUUCUUGCAUAGGAUAUUGGCUGCUUCUGCUUGGGUGUCUGGAGAGUAUGUUGAGUUCUCAAAAAACCCAUUUGAACUUAUGGAAGCACUGCUGCAGCCACGCACUAGUCUUUUGCCGCCAUUAAUAAGAGCUGUUUAUAUACACUCUGCAUUUAAAGUUCUGGUAUUUUGUCUUCAUUCUUAUCUUGUGCAGAGGGAAGUAAUUCAUCCAUCGUCUGUUGAUGAUUUGGCAACAGGAAUGCCUGAUUUGGGUUUUGGCAUAAAAUGCGUGGAAGUUUCUGAUAUUGCAAAAUGCCAAUCUGCUGCUGAUUGUGGACAUGAUGAUGAAUUCAACCCAAGGGUUUCAGACAUAUCAGUGGAAGAUUCCACUAUGGAAACUACGAGGGAUAUAACUGUUCAUGAGGCAUCUUCAUCAGUUUCUUUACAGAAGGAACCUUUUACUCAUGAAUCUAUUCUUAAUCUGUUAAAUCUGGUCAAAAUGGCUUUAGGUCCACACUCAGGAACUGAUGAGGUAGAAGUGCAAGACAGGGCACAAAAUGUACUUGGCUUUAUUAAGAUGAUAGAACAAGAGUUACAUGGUCUUUUGGGUGAAGAGAAAGGGAAUUUUGAGAUUGGAGAACAUAAAGUCCCCAAAAUUAUUGAACUGAUGUACAAUGCCUUCUCCAAGGAGCUGGGCCCAGUCUCAGUGAGUGCUCAGGAAAGAGUUCCAAUUCCUGAUGGGCUUAUGCUGAAAGAAGAUCUUUCUGACUUGGACAAUAUGUGUGCAGAUGUUCUUAAACCUCCAUCAAGUUCUUUCACUACUGGAAAUCCUCAGUUUGGAGAGAGAGAAGGUGAUUCCUUUUUUAACCUGCAUGGAAAGGAACCAGAACCAUCAACUGAGUCAACAUUGUUGCUUGCGCAACAUCGGAAACAGCAUGGAUUAUAUUAUCUCCCUUCAGAUAAGAACGAAACUGUAUCCAAUGAUUAUCCACCUGCAAAUGAACCCCCAUUGUUGUCUAAUCUUGUUGAUGGUACUCAAGAUCUUAUGAAGCUUACAGAGCAAUCAUUAGCAUCAAAAAAGAAGUCGAACCAUGCAAAGCCACGGCCUGUGGUGGUAAAGUUGGAUGAGGGAGAUGAAUUGCCUGUUUCAGCCACAAAACUAACAAAAGAGUCAAAAGAUGAUUCACUCUCAGGUGCUCUUCGAGACAUUCUUCUAGGUGAUAAGGUGAAUCCCAUGUCAUCCCAAAGACAACCCUCUGAUAAAUCAUCUGGGAAGAGAGAGAAAGAAGCUUUAGUUGAUAGUGGAUAUGCUUCCAGGUCAAAGCAAAAUCUUGGUGAUGCACAACCUAGCCAUGGAAGCUCAAGUUCUAGAAGGAGCAAGCAUCGUAGUCAUGGUAAAGAGAAACAGAGAAGUCCUAGAAGGAAUAAUGAGGGUAAAGAAGAUACUCAAAAAGACAAAAAGAAGGGUAGUCAUCACCAUCGUAGACAUAAGACUCGGCAAAGAGCAGAUGGGCCUCCAAAUGUGAUUUCACAAACUCCAGUUAUCCCAGAUUUCCUCUUGUAACAUUAAAAGUUGAACUGGGGUUUACAAAAUGAAACAUUUGAGGGCAUUUUGUUGAAGGUUGUAUGGUGGAUUGGACAGGAUUGAUAAGAUCCCAGAACUUUUCCAAGUCGACAAGGGUGGUCAGCAAGUGCUAUUUGGCUGAUUUUGACACUUUAUUGACAGUAUAUGCAUAAUGCAUUCCAAAGGAUGAGAGGGGUGGACUUGGGAAUAACCACAUUGGACAAGCAAGCCAGUGCUCUGCUCCAACUCCAGCAAGGUUUGGACCGACCAUUGACCGGUCAUCAACUCUAUCUCUGGCAUGGUCUUCUUCUUCUUCAAGCCCUGGUUUUGAGAGAAAGAGAGAGUGUGGACCUUUCUUCAAGUUCAAGCCCUUUCUGCAUAUCCUUUUACUGGUGUUCACUGCUCGUGCUGCUGCGGUAAGGUUAGAGAGGUGAAAAUUCAAAAGAAGUAUUCAUGGCAGAUGAGGUCACCAAAAGAUGGGUAUUUGAGUUGGUAUCUUCAAGCCUGAAUCAGGAGGCCAGGAGGUUUCUGAUUAGGUCUACUUGAGUCUCUUGCCAUCAAGUGAGGGUUACUACUGAAAUCUUUUGAAGGCAUUUGAGUCUACAUUUUUCAUCUAAAGUCAAUAGAUAGAUUGAGUUUUGUUCACUUGGUUAGGUGGUUUUGGGGAUUGACAAAAAAGGCAUUUUCUUGUUGGUUAUUGAAUUUCAUGGAUUUGUUUUCAGCUAGUUUGUAUGUUAGAAGUGAAUGAAUUAACAGGGUGGAAUGUUUCCAUGAUAUUUGCGAAAUGGCAAAGAGACCACUUGAAUGUUAGGGGGCUCAUCUUUGGACCCUAGUUCACAAUUUUGUAUAAAGCUGAUUUUUGUGGAUUUAA
Non-coding RNA from Nelumbo nucifera (sacred lotus), 3949 nucleotides. The record is from RefSeq and is a predicted model, not a curated record. Lineage: Eukaryota; Viridiplantae; Streptophyta; Magnoliopsida; Proteales; Nelumbonaceae.